Long non-coding RNA from Mesocricetus auratus (golden hamster), 380 nucleotides. RefSeq lists it as uncharacterized. The record is from RefSeq and is a predicted model, not a curated record. The transcript has 2 exons. Lineage: Eukaryota; Metazoa; Chordata; Mammalia; Rodentia; Cricetidae.
CAGAAAUCUUGUAAUGAGCCCCAGUCCACACACCCUGCCUCUUGGGUCCACUGCAGGGUUGCAGCUCCAGACCUGGUUGGGUUGCUGGCAUCUGAGACAUGUCACUUCAUCCUGCCAUGGUGCUGGCCCUCGUGCUGUGCCUGGAACAGACAACUAAGACUCAGAAAGGUGAGUCAUGUCUUUGGUUGCUUCUGCACCUGUGAGAAGCUUUGAAGAGGAUCAUGUGCACUUGGGAGGCCUGGAUGAAGACCACUGAAUAUAUUCUCUAAUCAUGAACAUCCCCAGAGAGGCAACCUUCAAUCCUCUUCCUUUUCUACCUACAGUCCUUUGAUUUCUUAUUUAAAAUGUUUUCGUUUGACAAAUAAAAAGGUUUAUAUUUA